RNAcentral lists this ribosomal RNA (1439 nucleotides) under uncultured organism. RNAcentral's name for it is "16S ribosomal RNA". It matches the Rfam family "Bacterial small subunit ribosomal RNA". The record is from RNAcentral.
CGCUGGCGGCGUGCUUAACACAUGCAAGUCGAACGGAAAGGCCCUGCUUUUGUGGGGUGCUCGAGUGGCGAACGGGUGAGUAACACGUGAGUAACCUGCCCUUGACUUUGGGAUAACUUCAGGAAACUGGGGCUAAUACCGGAUAGGAGCUCCUGCUGCAUGGUGGGGGUUGGAAAGUUUCGGCGGUUGGGGAUGGACUCGCGGCUUAUCAGCUUGUUGGUGGGGUAGUGGCUUACCAAGGCUUUGACGGGUAGCCGGCCUGAGAGGGUGACCGGCCACAUUGGGACUGAGAUACGGCCCAGACUCCUACGGGAGGCAGCAGUGGGGAAUAUUGCACAAUGGGCGGAAGCCUGAUGCAGCAACGCCGCGUGCGGGAUGACGGCCUUCGGGUUGUAAACCGCUUUCGCCUGUGACGAAGCGUGAGUGACGGUAAUGGGUAAAGAAGCACCGGCUAACUACGUGCCAGCAGCCGCGGUGAUACGUAGGGUGCGAGCGUUGUCCGGAUUUAUUGGGCGUAAAGGGCUCGUAGGUGGUUGAUCGCGUCGGAAGUGUAAUCUUGGGGCUUAACCCUGAGCGUGCUUUCGAUACGGGUUGACUUGAGGAAGGUAGGGGAGAAUGGAAUUCCUGGUGGAGCGGUGGAAUGCGCAGAUAUCAGGAGGAACACCAGUGGCGAAGGCGGUUCUCUGGGGCCUUUCCUGACGCUGAGGAGCGAAAGCGUGGGGAGCGAACAGGCUUAGAUACCCUGGUAGUCCACGCUGUAAACGGUGGGUACUAGGUGUGGGGUCCAUUCCACGGGUUCCGUGCCGUAGCUAACGCUUUAAGUACCCCGCCUGGGGAGUACGGCCGCAAGGCUAAAACUCAAAGGAAUUGACGGGGCCCCGCACAAGCGGCGGAGCAUGCGGAUUAAUUCGAUGCAACGCGUAGAACCUUACCUGGGUUUGACAUGGAUCGGGAGUGCUCAGAGAUGGGUGUGCCUCUUUUGGGGUCGGUUCACAGGUGGUGCAUGGCUGUCGUCAGCUCGUGUCGUGAGAUGUUGGGUUAAGUCCCGCAACGAGCGCAACCCUUGUUCACUGUUGCCAGCACGUUAUGGUGGGGACUCAGUGGAGACCGCCGGGGUCAACUCGGAGGAAGGUGGGGAUGACGUCAAGUCAUCAUGCCCCUUAUGUCCAGGGCUUCACGCAUGCUACAAUGGCUGGUACAGAGAGUGGCGAGCCUGUGAGGGUGAGCGAAUCUCGGAAAGCCGGUCUCAGUUCGGAUUGGGGUCUGCAACUCGACCUCAUGAAGUCGGAGUCGCUAGUAAUCGCAGAUCAGCAACGCUGCGGUGAAUACGUUCCCGGGGCUUGUACACACCGCCCGUCAAGUCAUGAAAGUUGGUAACACCCGAAGCCGGUGGCCUAACCGUUGUGGGGGAGCCGUCGAAGGUGGGACUGGUGAUUAGG